GGAGACUGGAGAAAGGUUCCCUUCUUCUCCAGACCUAAAGAACGUCUCUCCUUUGUCCUAGUGUGUAUGUAGCAGUUUGAACUUCCAAACAAGAACUUCUCCCCAGGAUCAAGAACUCAACCCUGCCCAGUAAGAACUCUGCCCCAGGAGACCUCAACUGAUACCAAAGAUGGCCUUCCCUUCUCGUAUCUUCCUCUUCUGUUGUUCAAAUACCGGAACCUGACAUCGGUUGUCUCUGUGAGUUAAUAUUGGUUGGUGAUUUGACAAGAUCUAGUGUCAGCUAGCACGAGGCUGGCUGCUUCUUCCUUCAGCCUUCUCGGUGUUUGCUUUACACUGAGGAAUCCUGAGGGUUG
RNAcentral lists this long non-coding RNA (353 nucleotides) under Rattus norvegicus (Norway rat). RNAcentral describes it as "long non-coding RNA NONRATT033478". Lineage: Eukaryota; Metazoa; Chordata; Mammalia; Rodentia; Muridae. The record is from RNAcentral.